GUGAUUGAGGGAGGGAAGAACUGGCAGGGUGAGGGAGGAAAUAAGGGAGAGAAGAACUGGCAGGGUAAGUUAGGGAGAAAGGGAAGGGAAAAAAAGGCAGAAACAGGCAGGAAGGGUAAGAAAUGAAGGGACAGACAGUUUUUACCUAGUUGUAGUUUUAUGGGGCCUGGGCUUAACCUCGUGUGGUCCCAUCUCGAUAUCUGUAUUUAUCCUGUUUUUCCUUAAAGUUAUGCACACGAUAUCUGUAUUUAUCCAGUUUUUCCUUAAAGUUAUGCACACGAUAUCUGUAUUUAUCCAGAUUUUCCUUAAAGUUGUGCACACGAUAUCUGUAUUUAUCCAGAUUUUCCUUAAAGUUGUGCACACGAUAUCUGUAUUUAUCCAGAUUUUCCUUAAAGUUAUGCACACGAUAUCUGUAUUUAUCCAGUUUUUCCUUAAAGUUGUGCACACGAUAUCUGUAUUUAUCCAGUUUUUCCUUAAAGUUAUGCACACGAUAUCUGUAUUUAUCCAGAUUUUCCUUAAAGUUGUGCACACGAUAUUUGUAUUUGUCCAGAUUUUCCUUAAAGUUGUGCACACGAUAUCUGUAUUUAUCCAGAUUUCCCUUAAAGUUAUGCACACGAUAUCUGUAUUUAUCCAGAUUUUCCUUAAAGUUAUGCACACGAUAUCUGUAUUUAUCCAGUUUUUCCUUAAAGUUAUGCACACGAUAUCUGUAUUUAUCCAGUUUUUCCUUAAAGUUAUGCACACGA
Molecule: long non-coding RNA, 743 nt
Organism: Eriocheir sinensis (Chinese mitten crab)
Lineage: Eukaryota; Metazoa; Arthropoda; Malacostraca; Decapoda; Varunidae
Exons: 2
Source: RefSeq, a predicted model, not a curated record